Camelina sativa (false flax) is the source of this 1025-nucleotide non-coding RNA. NCBI's taxonomy places the organism in Eukaryota, Viridiplantae, Streptophyta, Magnoliopsida, Brassicales, Brassicaceae. The record is from RefSeq and is a predicted model, not a curated record.
UCACACGCUCUCCCGAGACCGAGAGUCUCAAGUCUAUGAAGCCGAGCGAUGAUGAUCCAUGUAUGUAGGUGUCCCAAGUAAGCCAAUCUCUCCGCCUUUCCUUAAUCUCAGAACGUGAAACCCUAAUCCGCAAGAUCGCAACUCGUUUCGUGACUCAGUUACUGUUUCUCAAAACCCUAAAACCUCGUCGGAUCUGUCUCUCGCGUCUCUUGUUCAGCCACUGCCAACUUUCCCGGCGCUAUAUCUCCGCACUUCUUCUCUGAUGUGUAACGCGGCCGAUCCCUACAAUUUCCGACGCCCGAAGAACCUCCCCUUGAGGUCUGUUUUUUUUUUUUCUUUCUCAGGCGAUGAUCCAUACAUAUGUCGAAGUAAGCCACUCUCUCUGUAAGAGGGAUGAUGCAAAGCCAUUGUUCCUUAUCUAUCCACAGUAUCUAUCUAUGGUCCAAUUGCUCGGCAAGGGUUUCUCCGGUUCUUGGUCUGGGUUUUACGGGAUCUUUAGCUCAGAUUCUUUCUUAAUUUGUACUUCUUCAUAUUUAAUUGCAACAAUUACUAGUGUGCUCGCUGAUGGUGCAGAGGACAACAGUUGGCUCUUGCGUUCCAUCCGUGUGCUCUCUGCUGCUGCAGAGGGAUCUUAAUCUGAUUCACGAGUAUUAUGCCAAUCACAGGAGAAGGUGAUCUUGUUUGCGCAUUGCCAAACAGUUGAGCAGUUGUGUUAUACUAAACGUCACAUGCAACGUUUUCCAGUGUCUCAGCAUCUUCUUUGACUUCAAAAUGGGUGGGUGAGGCUAAGAAGCUUGUUAAUACGCUAUUUCAAGUUGCAAUAUCCAGGCAACCUUCUGUGAUAUUAUGGAUCAAGAGCUACUAACAAGCCACAGGAGUAGGAUGAUGCAGUGCUUAGUUUGGUGAAGAGAAUGUAUGUACCAUUGCCGGAUCCGAACGUCAGAAAGUUUACUUUUUAAAACUAAACUGAAGAGUCAGCCUCACUCUUUAUCCGGUCGCGACAUUGAAAAAAUCGUCAGAGAAAC